UGCUUUGCUUCCCCACGCUUCCUCAAC
RNAcentral lists this non-coding RNA (27 nucleotides) under Rattus norvegicus (Norway rat). The record is from RNAcentral. Lineage: Eukaryota; Metazoa; Chordata; Mammalia; Rodentia; Muridae.